This 253-nucleotide ribosomal RNA is filed under the name uncultured bacterium. RNAcentral's name for it is "partial 16S ribosomal RNA". It matches the Rfam family "Bacterial small subunit ribosomal RNA", at positions 524 to 776 of the family's 1533-position model. The record is from RNAcentral.
CACGUAGGCACCAAGCGUUGUCCGGAUUUAUUGGGCGUAAAGAGCUCGUAGGCGGUUCAGUAAGUCGGGUGUGAAAACUCAGGGCUCAACCCUGAGCUGCCACCCGAUACUGCUGUGACUUGAGUCUGGUAGGGGAGUGGGGAAUUCCUGGUGUAGCGGUGAAAUGCGCAGAUAUCAGGGGAACACCGGUGGCGAAGGCGCCACUCUGGGCCACGACUGACGCUGAGGAGCGAAAGCAUGGGUAGCAAACAGG